Molecule: long non-coding RNA, 801 nt
Filed under: Rattus norvegicus (Norway rat)
Lineage: Eukaryota; Metazoa; Chordata; Mammalia; Rodentia; Muridae
Description: long non-coding RNA NONRATT008161
Source: RNAcentral
AAGGAGACCAGCUUCUGUGGCUUAGCACUGCUUCGCUGGUAGUCCCGGCCCCUGCAGCCUACUGCUGCCCACAGAGAUACCCAGGCCCUCCCUUACCUCAGGCCAGCUGGCUAACAGACUCUUCCUUUUCCAGGUGCCAGGCCUUCAGCAUUGUCCUCUGGUCUGGUAGAGAGUUCUUCCUCCUUCAGGGAAGGCAGAUGGCCCGACAGGGAUCAGACACUGUGACUCCCCCAGACUCUUUCGGCCUGGCCCAAGCUCGCCGGUGCCUUCUCUCGGGAGAGUUUGACAUAGCAGUUUUCAGUGCUUUAACCCACUCCUUGAGCUCCACCUUCUCAUACUUGACGUUCCAGGAAGUGGUCCUGGAGCCAAACUAGAGGGUCACCGGUCUCAGUGGAGACCUGCUGUGGUUCCACAUCCUUCCCAGCCCUUGUCAGAUGGCUUCUGUAGCUUCUCCAUGCCAAUUGCAGUCUGGUGUGUCCUCAGGCACAGUUUGUCAGACUCCUAGGGCAGGUAUCGUUCCCUAUCUGUGUUGGGCAAAGCUAUCAAGUGAACAAGACACCGGCAAUAAUGCGGGUGCUGCUUUUCAACACUUGCUAUAGGACCCUUUUAAAAUGCCACUUGCAGGCAAGAGAGGAUCAUUCUCAUAAGGGGAACACUGGAGACAGAGGGUACUGGAAGCAUGGGGAGCCCUUCGCUCUCAGCCUCGGCAAUGUCCUCACUGUUUUCAGUGGGUAGAUGUGAGAAGAGAAACCACAGGGUAGGGAGCAGAGCAUCCCAGUACCCAAAAGGACGUGAGGGAGA